GAUGAACGCUGGCGGCGUGCCUAAUACAUGCAAGUCGAGCGAACAGAUGAGGAGCUUGCUCCUCUGACGUUAGCGGCGGACGGGUGAGUAACACGUGGAUAACCUACCUAUAAGACUGGGAUAACUUCGGGAAACCGGAGCUAAUACCGGAUAAUAUAUUGAACCGCAUGGUUCACUAGUGAAAGACGGUUUUGCUGUCACUUAUAGAUGGAUCCGCGCCGCAUUAGCUAGUUGGUAAGGUAACGGCUUACCAAGGCAACGAUGCGUAGCCGACCUGAGAGGGUGAUCAGCCACACUGGAACUGAGACACGGUCCAGACUCCUACGGGAGGCAGCAGUAGGGAAUCUUACGCAAUGGGCGAAAGCCUGACGGAGCAACGCCGCGUGAGUGAUGAAGGUCUUCGGAUCGUAAAACUCUGUUAUUAGGGAAGAACAAAUGUGUAAGUAACUAUGCACGUCUUGACGGUACCUAAUCAGAAAGCCACGGCUAACUACGUG
RNAcentral lists this ribosomal RNA (497 nucleotides) under uncultured bacterium. Its description in RNAcentral is "partial 16S ribosomal RNA". It matches the Rfam family "Bacterial small subunit ribosomal RNA", at positions 28 to 507 of the family's 1533-position model. The record is from RNAcentral.